UUAGCUACAGGCUUAACACAUGCAAGUCGAGGGGCAUCAGGAAGAAAGCUUGCUUUCUUUGCUGGCGACCGGCGCACGGGUGAGUAACACGUAUCCAACCUGCCCUUUACUCGGGGAUAGCCUUUCGAAAGAAAGAUUAAUACCCGAUAGCAUAAUGAUUCCGCAUGGUUUCAUUAUUAAAGGAUUCCGGUAAAGGAUGGGGAUGCGUUCCAUUAGGUUGUUGGUGAGGUAACGGCCCACCAAGCCUUCGAUGGAUAGGGGUUCUGAGAGGAAGGUCCCCCACAUUGGAACUGAGACACGGUCCAAACUCCUACGGGAGGCAGCAGUGAGGAAUAUUGGUCAAUGGGCGCUAGCCUGAACCAGCCAAGUAGCGUGAAGGAUGAAGGCUCUAUGGGUCGUAAACUUCUUUUAUAUAAGAAUAAAGUGCAGUAUGUAUACUGUUUUGUAUGUAUUAUAUGAAUAAGGAUCGGCUAACUCCGUGCCAGCAGCCGCGGUAAUACGGAGGAUCCGAGCGUUAUCCGGAUUUAUUGGGUUUAAAGGGAGCGUAGGUGGACUGGUAAGUCAGUUGUGAAAGUUUGCGGCUCAACCGUAAAAUUGCAGUUGAUACUGUCAGUCUUGAGUACAGUAGAGGUGGGCGGAAUUCGUGGUGUAGCGGUGAAAUGCUUAGAUAUCACGAAGAACUCCGAUUGCGAAGGCAGCUCACUGGACUGCAACUGACACUGAUGCUCGAAAGUGUGGGUAUCAAACAGGAUUAGAUACCCUGGUAGUCCACACAGUAAACGAUGAAUACUCGCUGUUUGCGAUAUACAGUAAGCGGCCAAGCGAAAGCAUUAAGUAUUCCACCUGGGGAGUACGCCGGCAACGGUGAAACUCAAAGGAAUUGACGGGGGCCCGCACAAGCGGAGGAACAUGUGGUUUAAUUCGAUGAUACGCGAGGAACCUUACCCGGGCUUAAAUUGCAGUGGAAUGAUGUGGAAACAUGUCAGUGAGCAAUCACCGCUGUGAAGGUGCUGCAUGGUUGUCGUCAGCUCGUGCCGUGAGGUGUCGGCUUAAGUGCCAUAACGAGCGCAACCCUUAUCUUUAGUUACUAACAGGUUAUGCUGAGGACUCUGGAGAGACUGCCGUCGUAAGAUGUGAGGAAGGUGGGGAUGACGUCAAAUCAGCACGGCCCUUACGUCCGGGGCUACACACGUGUUACAAUGGGGGGUACAGAAGGCAGCUAGCGGGUGACCGUAUGCUAAUCCCAAAAGCCUCUCUCAGUUCGGAUCGAAGUCUGCAACCCGACUUCGUGAAGCUGGAUUCGCUAGUAAUCGCGCAUCAGCCACGGCGCGGUGAAUACGUUCCCGGGCCUUGUACACACCGCCCGUCAAGCCAUGGGAGCCGGGGGUACCUGAAGUACGUAACCGCAAGGAUCGUCCUAGGGUAAAACUGGUGACUGGGG
RNAcentral lists this ribosomal RNA (1441 nucleotides) under uncultured organism. Its description in RNAcentral is "SSU rRNA". It matches the Rfam family "Bacterial small subunit ribosomal RNA". The record is from RNAcentral.